GGGGUGGGGUCCCGGGUCUGCUCAGGAGCUGGGGCAUGGGCACUUGGAACGGGGAUUGCUCUCCCGCCCCCACUAUUGUACGGACGACAACGCGGAGGCCUAGCAUUCUCUCCCAGCCUAGAAACUGAUCCCUAGUCAGCCCUCUACCAUCUGUUGAAUGGGAAGCUUAGACCGUGAUCGGGCCGCGACGCCCCGCUUCCAUUAGUGCGCCGAAAUAGAGGGUCACUUCGUCAGCUGAGACCUCCCUUUUCUCCAGGCCACGGGGACAGACCAGGUGGUGGGACUCGGCCUCGUCGCCGUUAGCCUGAUCAUCUUCACCUACUACACCGCCUGGGUGAUUCUCUUGGACUGUUCAUCUCCUAUGUGAUGCUGAAGACCAAGAGAGUGACCAAGAAGGCUCAGUGAAGGUCCCGCAGGGAUGAGGCUGCCAGCCCCUUCUCUGCUUCCCCUCCAGCACAGGGACCAAGUGGGGGAGCCUGCAGAACCUGUCCAGGCACAGUGGCUCCUCAAGCCUGCCUGUCCUGCAGAGUCCCCAUGGCAUGGAGCUUACACCUGACUGACUGGAGCCCCCUCCCCGACUCCCACUUCCAGAAGCUAGGAGGGAGGGAUACCUGGAAGACUCCGGUCACCUCCUUCUUGCUCAGGGCCUAAAAGAUGCUGGUCCUCCCAACCUCACUCUCAGACUCCCUGCCACCUUUUCCCCUGGGUUCUGCCGUCUUGCCUCACUUCCCCUCCUGUCACAUG
Molecule: long non-coding RNA, 744 nt
Filed under: Homo sapiens (human)
Lineage: Eukaryota; Metazoa; Chordata; Mammalia; Primates; Hominidae
Description: non-protein coding lnc-DPM2-1:2
Source: RNAcentral